CAGUCGCCGCGGUAAUACGAAGGGUGCAAGCGUUAAUCGGAAUUACUGGGCGUAAAGCGUGCGUAGGCGGUUUGUUAAGUCUGCUGUGAAAUCCCCGGGCUCAACCUGGGAAUGGCAAUGGAUACUGGCAAGCUAGAGUGUGUCAGAGGAUGGUGGAAUUUCCUGUGUAGCGGUGAAAUGCGUAGAUAUAGGAAGGAACACCAGUGGCGAAGGCGACCACCUGGACUAAUACUGACACUGAGGUGCGAAAGCGUGGGGAGCAGACAGGAUUAGAUACCCGAGUAGUCCCUGUCUCUUAUAC
Molecule: ribosomal RNA, 301 nt
Filed under: uncultured bacterium
Lineage: Bacteria
Description: partial 16S ribosomal RNA
Rfam family: Bacterial small subunit ribosomal RNA
Source: RNAcentral